Molecule: ribosomal RNA, 634 nt
Filed under: Gelidium pusillum
Lineage: Eukaryota; Rhodophyta; Florideophyceae; Gelidiales; Gelidiaceae
Description: eukaryotic LSU rRNA
Rfam family: Eukaryotic large subunit ribosomal RNA
Source: RNAcentral
GAAUCCGCYAAGGAGUGUGUAACAACUCACCUGCCGAAUGAAUUAGCCCUGAAAAUGGAUGGCGCUUAAGCGGGUGGCCGACACCAUGCCGUCUGAAUGAUAAAUUUCARAUGAGUAGGAGGACGUGGUGAUCGUGACGAAGUAUGCGUGCGAACGCGUAUCGAACGAUCACUAGUGCAGAUCUUGGUGGUAGUAGCAAAUAUUCAAGCGAGAUCCUUGAAGGGCGAAGUGGGGAAGGGUUCCACGCUAACAUUGAUUGGGCGUGGGUGAGUCGUUCCUAAGCCGAGUGGCAAUUGCUAAGUAACGGCGAAAGGGAAGCGGGUUUACAUUCCCGCACACGGAUGUGGAGGCGGUGACGCUUUAUUGGGGCGAACACGCUGGCGAUGGCGCUGGGCAGAGUUGUCUUUUCUGUUUGACCGUUUGCGCAUGCGGUGUGGAGUCCGCUUGUCGGGAGAAACACGCAUGCGCGGGCAGAGCGCCGGGGCUUAUCCGGCGUCCAGCUCGCCAUCGACGGCCCUUGAAACUUUGCCUGCUGAUUUUAGAAUCCACGCCGUGGCGUACCGAUCACCGCAUCAGGUCCCCAAGGUGAACAGCCUCUGCUCAAUAUGAAAAAUGCAGGUAAGGGAAGUCGGCA